GUCACAGUGUCGGAAUUGGUAUACGAGACAGUCUCAAAAACUGUUGUAGAAAUGCGUGUGAGUUCAAAUCUCACCUGUGACACCA
Molecule: transfer RNA, 85 nt
Filed under: Caudoviricetes sp.
Lineage: Duplodnaviria; Heunggongvirae; Uroviricota; Caudoviricetes
Description: tRNA-Leu
Rfam family: tRNA
About the family: Transfer RNA (tRNA) molecules are approximately 80 nucleotides in length. Their secondary structure includes four short double-helical elements and three loops (D, anti-codon, and T loops). Further hydrogen bonds mediate the characteristic L-shaped molecular structure. tRNAs have two regions of fundamental functional importance: the anti-codon, which is responsible for specific mRNA codon recognition, and the 3' end, to which the tRNAs corresponding amino acid is attached (by aminoacyl-tRNA synthetases). tRNAs cope with the degeneracy of the genetic code in two manners: having more than one tRNA (with a specific anti-codon) for a particular amino acid; and 'wobble' base-pairing, i.e. permitting non-standard base-pairing at the 3rd anti-codon position.
Source: RNAcentral